UAAUUGCACAGGUUGUAUGGAAAUCGCGAGACGAAUCUUUUGUAUCUAAUUAGUCCAUGAUUAGCCAUAAGUGUUACAGUAACCCACAUAUACUAAUGACGGCUUAAUUAAACUCAAAAGAUUCAUCUCGCGGUUUCCAAGCGAGUUACGAAAUUAGUGU
RNAcentral lists this unclassified non-coding RNA (160 nucleotides) under Oryza sativa (Asian cultivated rice). RNAcentral's name for it is "partial microRNA MIR446z precursor". Lineage: Eukaryota; Viridiplantae; Streptophyta; Magnoliopsida; Poales; Poaceae. The record is from RNAcentral.